This 239-nucleotide long non-coding RNA is filed under the name Mytilus galloprovincialis (Mediterranean mussel). The record is from RNAcentral. Lineage: Eukaryota; Metazoa; Mollusca; Bivalvia; Mytilida; Mytilidae.
GCCGCACGGUGAUCUUUAAUUGCUUUUAUCUUUUUUGACUUGACAUUGGCAAUCAUACAACUUCUCCUUAUUUUCAUAAUGCUGAAAAGACCAUUCAGACUUAAAAAAAGGAAACCACGAAGUAGUUUCCAGUAAUAUAACUUGAACACAAGUACUUGCUAUUCAAAGUGUCUACCUAUCCAUAUUGUUUUCGCGGUAAAAGGCAAAAACAUCAAGAAAGAUAAACAUUGUUAUUGAAG